RNAcentral lists this ribosomal RNA (467 nucleotides) under uncultured bacterium. RNAcentral describes it as "partial 16S ribosomal RNA". It matches the Rfam family "Bacterial small subunit ribosomal RNA", at positions 28 to 507 of the family's 1533-position model. The record is from RNAcentral.
GAUGAACGCUGGCGGCGCGCCUAACACAUGCAAGUCGAACGAUUAAAGCACCUUCGGGUGUGUAUAAAGUGGCGAACGGCUGAGUAACACGUGGGCAACCUGCCCCUCUCAUUGGGAUAGCCACGGGAAACCGUGGAUAAUACCGAAUACUUCGGGACUUCCGCAUGGAAGACUCGAGAAAGCUCCGGCGGGGAGGGAUGGGCCCGCGGCCUGUUAGCUUGUUGGUGGGGUAAUGGCCUACCAAGGCAAUGAUGGGUAGCUGGGUUGAGAGAGCGACCAGCCAGAUUGGGACUGAGACACGGCCCAGACUCCUACGGGAGGCAGCAGUGGGGAAUAUUGCACAAUGGGCGAAAGCCUGAUGCAGCGACGCCGCGUGCGGGAUGAAGGCCUUCGGGUUGUAAACCGCUUUCAGCAGGGACGAGGCGAAAGUGACGGUACCUGCAGAAGAAGCCCCGGCUAACUACGUG